UAGAGAAGUUUUAUUUCUAGAUUUAAAAACUGAGUUUUUAUAAUGUUUUGAAUCACAGCAAGUUGAACAUGACCAUUAAAAUAUUACUAAGAAAUAAUUUUUCUUUGUCUUUUUUCCAUUUUUUGGGCCACUCCUGUAGGGAUGGAGGUUCCCAGCCAGCGGCUACAGCUCCAAUUGGACUCCUAGCCUGGGAACCUCCGUAUGCCGUGGGUGCAGCCCGAAAAAGACAAGAAAAAAAGAAAGAAAAAAAUAACCAUGCCAACUGAACACUAUUUCAAGAAAUACUCUUGGCAUUUUGCUGAAAUUAGUUAAUGAGUGAUGUAUCACAUUUUGUGAUUCCAAACUUCUUUAAGAAUACUAACUGAAUUUUUAAUCAUUUGUUUUAAUAUGAAAUUAUUAUAUGUUAGUACAGACGUUGAAGGCUAUCAGUAAACCCGUGUUAGAACUUAAAUGAUUAUAAGAAAUCAAGAGUUUUGUAAAUACAUGCUAUUGAAAACUUCUUGUUUUAGGGUGCCUAGAAUAAAACUUCGAUCACAUAGUUUUUUGUGGUCAGUAUUUUUAGAAAUAAACUUUGAGCAUAAGAUUGAAUGCUCUUAGAAGACAGGGUUUGUAACUUUUAUUGCUAUAAACUAUACACUAUGACUAGCAUCCCUUCUACAAAAUGGGAAUUUAAUAAAUAUGUUAAUGAAUAGCUAUCCAUGGAAAUAACGUAUUUUAUUUCUUUUAUUGCUUUGUUUUCUUUUAUAAGCCUGCUUUCUUUUAGAGAAUCAUAUAAGUUACCAGGGAGGCUUAAGAUAUGAAAGCACAGUGUACUAUUUUUAUUAUGAGAAGUUCAAAGACCAUCUGUAUUUAUUAAUGAUCACCACUAAGCACUUCUUGGUAUUUAUUCUACUAAAUAAUGAGUUGUAAAGAUGGCAGAGUCAAACUGAGAGGUGAAUACCAGGCUCUCUCACUAGCUGGAAGAUUUGCUCUUUCACAUCUAUUUUUCAGCUUUAUUUUAGUAUCAUUCAUAUGUGUGCCUCUGCAAAAUGACAAAUUACCAUAGGCCCUGAACCUUUGGGUCAAUGUCACUGUGAAAAUAGUCACUGAAUAGCUAGGGUCUCUGCAAGGAUCCUUAACCUGUAAGGGUUCUGUCUUCAGAAGGUCCAUGAAGCUCCUGAAAUUAUUUGCUGCAUUUUAUGGAUUUGUGCAUACACAUUUUCUUUUUUUUUUCUGAGAAGAUGUCUGUAACAUUUAUGAGUACUAUCAAGUGUGUAACCCAAGAAAGGUUCAAAAGCUCUUCAGAGGCCUUUUACAUUGCAUAAAGCCUUGCCAUCUCAGUUCUUUGAUGUACAGCAUAUACUCUAGAGGAAUGAAGAUACUAUGUGUGUUUAUUUAUCAGUCUUAUUUUAAUUUUACAGUCUAGAAAAUUUGUGCCCUUUUCAUAAUACGUGGGUAUUUCUUUUUUAUGUGAAUUCAUAUUUUGAUGCAAAUGCAGUGUGAGUGAAUGGAAUUGAUAAAUGUGAAUGAUGCUUUACAUAUUUUUAUUAUUUAUGUGCAUGAAUUCAUUACUAAAGAGGGGAAGAAAAAUUUUUUUCAUAUUUUACUUGUAGUUCUUUUCAUGGAAUAGAAUAAUUUGAAAUAAAUUUUGGAUUGAAUUUAAAAUUUUCAUAUUCAAAAUAUACUUUUUUAAAAUAAGAGACCUGCUUUUAUGGAAGUACUAAUCCCUAACUCAUUCUAUAGAAAUGAGAUCUUAUACAAAAAAUAGUCAUAUGGUAUAUAGAGUAGACUAAACCAUAAUUGAUUAUUAUGAGUGUAUGUGAAUGUUUGUUUUGUUUGAACUGGAUUUUACGAUAGUGUCGGACUUCUUCGUUAAAGCUUUAGCUGCUGCUUCCUGGACUUCUUUGUUGUCUAAGGGAAACAAACUUCCUAGAAAGUGGAACUAUAGAGAAAGUUAAAAAUAGACAAGAGAAUUAGAAGACCUAAUUACAGUCUAACCUUAAUUAAUAUUUUUGAACUUGAUGAGUAAUUUAUUUCAAAAUUACAGCACCCACUGUCAUGAAAUGUAUCACCUGUAUAAACAAGCAAGUGGGAAACUGUUUUGCUGACUUAAAUUAAAUUUUUGCAAACAAGACAUUUUUAUUCUGUCACCCAAAAAAGGAAGCAUAUUGGUUAUUUUAAUUAAUAAAAAAUAACUGGAAUUAAUAGCCAUUUUUUGGGUAUUUACUUGUUAUAGACACUUUCACAUGUCACCUCAUUCGAUCUUUACAACUGUCUGAGAUAAAUAAUACUGCCAUUUUGAUGAGGAAGCUGAAGCAAAGUGACUUGUUCUAGGUGUUCUUUGGCAGGUAAUAAUAGGUGCUCAGUAUUUGUUAAAUUGAGUUACGUUGGUAUCUGUGACUCCCUAAUCCUUUCCUUCUUCACUGUCUCCAUUUCUGCCUUUAUCUGUAGUUAAAUUAUGGCCUCAGGACCCCGGGCCUUGAUACAUAGAACAUGGACAUGUACCCAGUGUGGUAUGUGCCACCCUGUCAGCAAACUUUCAUCAUGUUGUUUAAGAGAAAUAGGACCUGGAGUUCCCGUCGUGGCGCAGUGGUUAACGAAUCCGACUAGGAACCAUGAGGUUGCGGGUUCGGUCCCUGCCCUUGCUCAGUGGGUUGACGAUCCAGCGUUGCGGUGAGCCGUGGUGUAGGUUACAGACGCAGCUCGGAUCCCGCGUUGCUGUGGCUCUGGCGUAAGCCGGUAGCUACAGCUCCGAUUGGACCCCUAGCCUGGGAACCUCCGUAUGCCGCGGGAGCGGCCCAAGAAAUAGCAAAAAG
RNAcentral lists this long non-coding RNA (2795 nucleotides) under Sus scrofa (pig). RNAcentral's name for it is "lncRNA (ENSSSCG00065024412.1)". The record is from RNAcentral. Lineage: Eukaryota; Metazoa; Chordata; Mammalia; Artiodactyla; Suidae.